CUCUCUGAAACACAGAGAAGCGCAGCAGGUGCUGGGAGACUGACAAACAGGUUUGCUAUCAGCACAGGGUCAGGCCAGAGCCCACUAACGUGCCACAAUUUCCUUUCCCCAUGUGGUUUUUAAAAGGGCAUUUUAUAUCUCCACAUAUCUCUGCUUCCUCCCCAACAUGAGUUUCUCUCCCCCUGCCUGGGACCCUCUUAAUCCUGCAGGCCCUGGGUGUUGGGGUCAGGGAGGCCCCCUUUGCACAGCCAGCAAGACCCAGCGGCUGCCAAGCCUCUUCUGGAAGGCCCUGAGCCAAGGCUGGGUGCUUGGCCCAGAGAGUGCUUGGCCCACAUCCCACUUCCAGAAGCCUGAACGUUUGAAACCUGAGCUAAGCAUGGGACACAGCAGAAGCUGCUGCCUUUUCCAAGAAAUCAGGAGAGAGACAAGUAGUGGCCGCUCCUUGCCCAGGUACAAGGAAGCUUUUGGCUUAAGGGGGGGCGGGCUGUGAAGUCGGAAGAAGCAAGAUCUCCUGCGGGGUGAAUGCUGUGAGCCCCUCCAUCGAAGGCUCAUGUGGUCUAUAGGUGCAAUUAAACCCCACACCCUAAAGACACCUCCGUCUCUUCCAUCCCUCAUUCUAAAGAAACCCAACUCUCUGUGUAAAUGCCUGGAUCCCCUGAAAUCUUGCCCCUCUCGGAGACUGGGGUGCUGUGUGACAGUAUAGUCCAGGCAUAUAUGAAGAAAAUAGCCCCCAUAAUCAUUUGCAGAAAGGCGGAGACUGGGGGGCAGCUGGACCAGCGACUAGAGUCAGUGAUGGGCUGGAUGAGGGUCAACAAACUGAACCUCCCUUCCCAAACAAGGCGCAAAUGCUGUUCAGGGAGAUGCCAUUCGCCCCGUCCUAAACAUUGACAAACGUGACAAAUAGCUCAUGUUUUGUUCUGUUGCUGCAGGAUAUCUCUUGGAUGGCUUUAAAAGAGGUUGUGACUAAUUCAUGGAGGAGGAGGAGAGGGCUAUGGAUGCCCCCCCAGCCAUGAUGGCUCCGCUCUUGCUCCCCCUUUGGAGGCAGCCAUGCUUCUGGAUCCCCAUUUCUGGAAGUCCCAGGAGGAGGGCAGAGUGGGGCUCUGGCGCUUAGGGCCUGUUUUGGGGCUUCCCAGAAGAGGAGGCAUCAUCCGGUCGGCCAUUGUGAGGACCAAAGGCUGGACUCGAGGGGCCUUUGGCCGGAUCCAGCCAGGCUCUUCUUGUUUCCCCUGUUAAAGUGACUCUCUCAGAGUCCUUCUCUUCUUGGCCAUUAUUCACAGCGACAAUUCGUGGUUGCAAGAUAAGCUCCUGUGAAGAAGGAGGCUGGCUGUUUUGAGGGGGGCUCUCCAGGACCCACUUUUGGGACUCAAUGGGCUCAGUCACCUCAGGGACAUCAUAGGCUUCACUUUCUACCUGCUCCAUCUAGUUCACAAACUGCAGGUUUUCCUGGACAGGGAUAGUCUGCCCACAAGGAUCCAUAUUCUGCUCACCUCCUGACAGGAUUAUUGUAAUAGAUGUUGUUUUUCCCAGAGAGAAUAUUAUGAAAAUGAUAUACAGGUGGUACAUAACUCCAGUCAAGCUUGCAAAAAUCUACCAUUUGCCUGAUAAUAAAUGUUGGAAAUGUAAAGAAACUGAAGGUACAUUUUUUCACCUUUGGUGGACGUGCCCAAAGAUUAAGGCUUUCUGGGAGAUGAUAUAUCCUGAAUUAAAAUGGUAUUGAAAUCUACCUUCGUGAAGAAACCAGAGGCCUUUCUCCUGGGCAUAGUCGGCCAAACGGUGUUAAAAAAGGAUAGAACUUUCUUUAUGUAUGCUACAACAGCAGCAAGAAUACUCAUCGCAAAGUAUUGGAAGACACAAGAUUUACCCACACUGGAGGAAUGGCAGAUGAAAUUGAUGGACUAUAUGGAAUUGGCGGAAAUGACUGGCAGAAUCCGUGACCAGGGAGAAGAGUCGGUGGAAGAAGAUUGGAAGAAACUCAAAGACUAUUUACAGAAAUAUUGCAAAAUUAAAGAAUGUUAGAGUGAUGUUGGAUUGAAAUUAAGUGGCUUCUAGCUGUACAGGCUUUAAAGUUAAAGAUAGAUUAAGAUUAAGGAUUAGGACUAAAAAAGUCAAAAGAAAUGGAAAAUUGGUUUUUAAUAGAUUAAAAUUCAAUGUGACAUUAUAUUAAGAUUAAGGAUGGGAUUAAAAAGGAGGAAAAGGAAUUGCUGGACAAACAAAUUAAAACGGAAUACAAAAGAGGGAGGUAUGAGGAGGUCCGGGAAAUAAGUAAAUGUAAAAGUUGUGAUGAAAAGACGGAAUUGUUUUUAACUGUUUUUUCUUUUUUCUUUUUGUAUUUUGUAUGGUGUUUUAUUUUUAUUUUUAUUUUUUAAAUUUCUUUUUUAUUAAGAUGUUUUUUCAUGUGAAAUUCCAAUAAAUAUCAUUAUAUAUAUAUAUAUAUAUAUAUAUAUAUAUAUAUAUAUAUGUUGUUUUUCCCAAUACAGUAGGAAUGCUUCAGCUGCAACAAGAUAAACCUGACAGGAUUUUCACUGCCGCACCUCAUUUAAACCAAAUCUCACCAGGGCCAAAAGACCCUCUGCCUGUUUGUCUGGUUCUGAGUUCGAUCCAAAGCACUAGUCUUGUUUUAGAAAGUCCUCGGUGGCUUGAGGCGCCUUCUGCCCCCCUGCUCUCCUCUGUGGAGGCUUUUCUCCCUCUCCUUUCCCCUCUUCCUGGAGUGAAGGGGGCGGCGACAACAGCAACAGCAACAACUAACAGCCAGAAGGAAAAUGUUUGUUCUUCACAGACUUUUUAAAAAGUUUACAGGACUUUAGACAUUAAUUUUUUUCCUGUUCUUGAUAUUGUGUGGAAACAGCAACGAGUCUUCUUGCCCCUUAAAGGCUAGGAAAUAAAUUAUGGCAUAAAAACGUCCUUAGUGUGGUUCUCCGUUCCAAACUGGAUUGUUUCCCAGGAGACUUUGCCCCUUCUGCCUCUGAGUCAGGUUGGAAAGUCCCAGGGCAGUUCCCAGAACAAGGCCAGAAUGGUUCGGACUCCCUUUUAUAUGUUUUGUUUUCCUUUUUACUUCUAAGAAAAAUAGCUGAGGGUGCAGUAAACAUUCUUUGGCGAGUUACAAUAAUCUAAAUUUCGUUUGCAUGCCAAGCUAGCAAAGGAAUUUCAAGGAACCAUCUCAGGCUGCUUGGCUUACAUUUCUCACAGGAAUUGAAGAACGGAGGCAGAUUUUGCUGAGAAAGUACUCAUCCUCCAUUAACACUGGGGUGUGUUUGUGUUUGUUUCCUUCCCUCCUGCUCUCUCUCUGCCACAAGACACCCUCACCCAUUUCUCCACAGUCCCAUUUGUCUUUUCUCGCUUUCUCAUUUUCUCUAUCCUCCGCUGCCCCCUGCCGGCUGUUUUCUUACCCAGCUGAAAUGGAAAUCAGGUGAUUUCUAAGAAAUCCUUCAAGGGACCAGUUGAAGCAAGUCACGGGUUGCAAAAAAAAAGGUCAAGGUUCCCACAUAUAUCAGAGAUUUGCAAUUGUUGAAAAUGCAAGACAGUAAGAGCCGUGGCAAAAUGAUACCGGCAACUCCCCACAUGCACGCAAUAUACUUGCACACAACCACAAGGCCUUCUGAGCAGACCCUCCCCAGAGCCCAAAGAGGAUGUGUGCUCAGGCCAAGCCAGCCACUUCUUCCUUGGAGGGAGGGCAAAGUGCCUGGUGUGGUUUCUGCGCUUGAUCACCAUGUGCCAAAGUCAGGAAAGACCAAACACUGUCCUUCUGAAAGACGUUUCUGGGUAACGAUCUCCCCGCCAGGCUGCAAUCCUGAAGGGCUGUUGUGGCUUUUGGUUUGUCACUUGAGGGGAAAGGGGGCAUUUCUCAGUGUUGUGGGGCUUCAACUGUUUAAGGCAGACCUAAGCUACUUUUUGGACUUCUAGUCAGUUUGCAAAAAUCCAGCCUGAGACUUUUAAUAAUCUUCAGGCUGCAUGGCAUGAUGUUGUUGUCAUUGAGCCAGGAAAGAGACGCACCAGCGAAACACCACCAUUUUGUUUCCUCUUCUCCUCUGCAGCCUGGCCUUCACAAAAUGGCUUCCGUUCGUGGCAGGAGGGUGGGGACCUGCCUUGCCCUCACCACUUUCCUCCCUUCAGGGGAGAGGUCUGUUCAGGGUGAGGCUGGCCAAGGGAGGGAGGGAGGGAAAGCCACAGCAGCUCCCACCAUAACACAGCCCAGUUGAGAGGAAUUAAUAUACAGAUUUGGCUGUUUGUCAGGUGAUGGUUUUGUCCCCCCUCACAAUGAGUGACUGAGGCUUGUUAUGUAUUGAAGUACUCACCCUGGCCACCAGGGGUAUUGUGUAUAUAGU
This is a non-coding RNA of Podarcis lilfordi (Lilford's wall lizard), 4322 nucleotides long. Lineage: Eukaryota; Metazoa; Chordata; Lepidosauria; Squamata; Lacertidae. The record is from the annotation of a GenBank genome assembly.